GCGCGGCCCGGCCCGGCCGCCGCUACAGAGCCGAGCGCGGGGCGGGGACGGGGGCGAAGCCGGCGCGGCGCCAUCUUGUGCGGCCCCGCCGCCGUUAACCGCUUGCGCGCCGGCAGCCCGGCGAUGCCUCCGCUGCGAGCCUCCCCCUCCCCCUCCUCUCCGAGCCUCCCCCCGCCCAGCUGGGGCCCUCGGGGCGUAUUCGGGUCCUGUUUAUAUCGUGGGGUGGGAAUAAAGAUGGUUGUGUGAGGGAAGAGGUCUUGCGUGUCUUCUUGUUGGUGCAAAGGGCGCGUGUGGAAAGGUCGCGCGGGCUCAGGGGCAGUAGUGCAAAGCAGCUUUAAGGUUAUUAAUCUACGCCGCACUGCACAAAUAAGGCCGUGAUUGGAAAAGGAAAGUGAGAGGUGAAUUAUUAACUGUAAAGCCAACAGGACUUCAGUGUGCUUGUUGGACCUGACCUCGCACUUCAGGUCAGCGGCCUGCUGUCCGUGUUUGUGCGGCACUUUGUGCAGGAGGCCUCCGAAAGGAGACGCCGUCUGUGAGCCAUCCUGUGUGAAGGAUGGUGCUGCUGCGGUCGUCUGGUGUGCCCAGGGCUCACGGCAGCCCACCGGGUCCUGGACCACCUGUGCCACGCUCCAUGGGACCACAAACACCAACACACCCAACCGGCCCCCAAACCACCCCUCAAGGCGGCAUAAACUCUUGCAAUUUGGGAAGUGCCGAGGCUGAAAAUGCCAUUGAAUCCAACAAAGGAUUAUAAAGAAGAAGGAGACUCAGAUGAUGCAUAGCCCUUCUUUGCAGUGCUUUUUGCUGGCAGAACUGUGAUGUAUCUCCAGACCUUGGCAUCUAUGUCAUUUACCCCUACCAACUUACAUAUCCCCAAUUAACACAGAUAGUUAAUCAAUGAAAUGUGCUAAAAAGUGAUUCAAUAAGUGCUUAUUUUACAGAGCAAUACAAACAUCAACAGCUGUCAACAAAAUGGUAAGUAAUAAAAGAAGUAAAUUAUAGGUUAAGAGAUGUGAA
This 1017-nucleotide long non-coding RNA is filed under the name Anser brachyrhynchus (Pink-footed goose). RNAcentral's name for it is "lncRNA (ENSABRG00000014608.1)". Lineage: Eukaryota; Metazoa; Chordata; Aves; Anseriformes; Anatidae. The record is from RNAcentral.